GACGAACGCUGGCGGCGUGCUUAACACAUGCAAGUCGAACGGAAAGGCCCUGCUUUUGUGGGGUGCUCGAGUGGCGAACGGGUGAGUAACACGUGAGUAACCUGCCCUUGACUUUGGGAUAACUUCAGGAAACUGGGGCUAAUACCGGAUAGGAGCUCCUGCUGCAUGGUGGGGGUUGGAAAGUUUCGGCGGUUGGGGAUGGACUCGCGGCUUAUCAGCUUGUUGGUGGGGUAGUGGCUUACCAAGGCUUUGACGGGUAGCCGGCCUGAGAGGGUGACCGGCCACAUUGGGACUGGGAUACGGCCCGGAGUCCUACGGGAGGCAGCAGUGGGGAAUAUUGCACAAUGGGCGGAGGCCGGAUGCAGCAACGCCGCGUGCGGGAUGACGGCCUUCGGGUUGUAAACCGCUUUCGCCUGUGACGAAGCGUGAGUAACGGUAAUGGGUAAAGAAGCACCGGCUAACUACGU
RNAcentral lists this ribosomal RNA (467 nucleotides) under uncultured bacterium. RNAcentral describes it as "partial 16S ribosomal RNA". It matches the Rfam family "Bacterial small subunit ribosomal RNA", at positions 28 to 506 of the family's 1533-position model. The record is from RNAcentral.